Molecule: small nucleolar RNA, 107 nt
Organism: Lathyrus oleraceus (garden pea)
Lineage: Eukaryota; Viridiplantae; Streptophyta; Magnoliopsida; Fabales; Fabaceae
Source: RefSeq, a predicted model, not a curated record
AGUCUAUCAUGUGGACAUAGUCUCGCCAUAUCUUUGUAUCUUUCCCAUGCUUCGAAAAGUCAUUCUCCAUCCUUCUGUCUAAAUUUGUUAAUUUGGCUUCUUAGCAU